RNAcentral lists this long non-coding RNA (2960 nucleotides) under Marmota monax (woodchuck). Lineage: Eukaryota; Metazoa; Chordata; Mammalia; Rodentia; Sciuridae. The record is from RNAcentral.
AACAGAGUGAUUCCGAGCAAGAUAAUGAGGAGUGCACUUGUUGUCUAUUUGGUGCAUUCCAUUCAAUCACAAAGAAUAAAAUAAAAGGAUAUGUAAAAGGUAAGAUACACAUAGGAUACAAAAUAUAAUAGAGAGAGUAUUGCCAAAAAAUAUGAGCACUAGCAUAGAAUAACUGUCAAAGAAUAUGUCUGUUAAAUAGCUAGCAAGGAAAAAGGAAGAUAAGAAGUGGCAUCACAUUAGGUUUCAUUCACAGGUUAAAUUGGGAGUAUUGCUAAAUGAAUACAAUUGUGAGUUGCAUUUAAGACAUGCUUCUAUCACAGGGAAAUCUGAAAUAAGGAAAAAUAAAGAAUAAGAUGUAAUGAAGACUAAGAAAGAUAGUGAGUACAUGCAAUCAAAAAGAAAAAACGGAAUAAGUUUUACCAAGGAGAGGGUGGGAAAUUCAAGCCACAUAUGAGAAGGGUAAAGAGCAGGGUUUUCAAAAUGUGGGAAGAAUUUGUAAGUUUCAGAUUACAAAGAUGAAUGAAGGGGAGAGUACAUCUUUCUGAACCUUCAUGACUUAUUCACACUUGGAAAUGAAUUGAGGAGUAUACACUUGAUGCCACAAAGCUAAGUUUAUUUACCAUAAAUGAUUAGGCAUGUACAAAAUUUAGUGACAACAUUUUGCUACAUCCUAGGACAAAAACACAGGGAAGAAACAGCAAAUGGAAAAGGCAAAAGAAGUACAAAUAGUUGCGGAGCAUUCCCCAAACCCACAGGUAUCUAAAAUUGAUGUUCGAGGAAGAUUACAGAUUCUUCUAAACUUGACUUUGAAGGGACAUCCUAAGGUAAAAUCCAGAGCUAUAUUCAAAUUAACUCAGAGGAAUUGGAAGCUGACAAAUUUUACAUUGGAACUCUGAAAAUGUAAGGAAUCAUCUCUUGGGGAUCAUGUCCAAAAUCUCAUUCUGACUGAGCAAGUCUUUCCUUCUCCAUGUCCAUUACAUUCUAUAGUGAUUCCAAAGAUCCUGGUCCUCAGGCAACAUCUUUUUCAGACAGGGAAUGCAUGUACUUUUGAGAAAUAUGCAAGAACAGCUACGGAUUCCUGCAGUUUAGGACACAAGCAGAUCAAUUUCAAGGAUAAAUAUUGAGUCAAUUCUAAACAUGUAUCUUGAGAAUUGAGAGGGACUCAAAAGACUAAGAUGAAGAAAUUAUAUUUCUAUGAUAAAUUUGUUACAUUGCCAGGAAAGAAAGUGGCAAAAAUCCAUUCAAAGAAUGUAAAAUGGAAAGAAACAAGCCUCCACUCUAGGGUUCUUUUUGAAAAGCCAAAGGGAAGGGAAAACAAAGGAGGAAUCAUAAAAUUUAGCUAGGAAAUAUGAGUAAAUGGAGAGAAUACUCUUCAGGUCUUUACAGUUUGUCUCAUUUCAUAUCAAAAUCUGAUGGAGAGAUGAUUAGAACUAGUGGGGCCUGGAAGAAUAAGGGCAACCUACAGUUGCCAAUUUCUCUCCUCCAUAUGUAGCAGGCCCCACAACGUGUGAGGCAUCCAUAUGUGUCAUUCAGAAGAGCAACAUUGCAUUUUUGAAGAAUUAAUUGUUUUAAAGAAAGCUAAUAUUUUCAUUCAUACUAUUCUAAUCAUUAAUAUAUUUUGUUUAAGCCAUUAUUUUAUUGGUGUUUUGUUGGGAAACCAUGUUGCUUACAUGCCAGGAAUCCACAGUACUGUUGAGAUACCUUCUGAACUCUAGAGGACAAAUGUUGUUCUGAACUGGGACUUUUUUGAAAAUACUUUAAAAGCCUUGUAGAUAUGCCACAUCAGACUCAAACUGGAACCAGAAAUCUUUAUGCAGUUUACUCCUCAAAAACCAACACCAUUACUCUUAUUUACCAAUUUCUUCAAAACAUAAUAGUUUAUUGAUAUCUGCAAUUUCUGCAAGAUUUCAGAACAAUUUUUUGAUGGACUAGUCUGAAUCCUUUGUGCUUUAUCAUAUUUCUUUCUUUUUUUUUUUUUUUUUUUUUCAUAGAUGUUGGAUCACUUUCUUCACACAACAGAGGAAAAAUAAAAUUGGUGUUGGUUGAGCCACCUGAUACAGGAAAGGAAGCUAUAUCAGUUUCCCACAUGGGUAUGGAUAAACACCCAGAUGGUGUUAGCUGACUUUCUCUAAACACAUACAUCAGAAAACUCUCCAUGAUGAGCAAACAAUUAUAUAUUCCCCAGGAAUUAAAUCACUACUUUAUUUAUUUAUUUUUUUAUUUAAAACUUUGAUGAAUUCACUACUUUAGACUUGUCAAUUCUAAGGCAAAUAAGGGAUUGGAAAAGUACUUAUAAUAAAAUGGAUUAACAGAUUCUGCUAAGAUUCACUAAAGAUGUGUACUGCCACAUUUUAACAGCUUUGACAUUGAAUUUCUCAGGGGUCUUCUUUCCUCCUUUAAAUACAGUUCAUUCUGCAUCUCGACAUAAUUGUAUAAUUGAUCAUUUCAAAAAUGAUCUUUCCUCUGGAAACUUAACUGCAAAUAUUACUGAACCCACAUUCCUGGUUUGGUUUUAGUACUUUGAAUCUUGUGACUUUACUCAACACACAUGUAAUUCAUUUUACUGCUUUUAUAUAAAAUGAAUGUGUUAUUUAUUGGCAAACAGUUUUCCAGAAAUUUUGACUGAGUUGUAAAUCAAGAAUGUGCUUGCACAUACCAAGGAAGUGUUUGCUAAUCGUUCUAUGACAUAUUUUAUUUCUUUAUUUUACCUCAAUUGUGGGCACUAAAAAAAGGUCUUUUUGCAUGCUAAGCAAAAAGUUGCUGUCUCACUGAACGUCUCCCACAGACCUCUCUAAUUCUCUAGUGGGUUUUCUAAAUCCAGGUUUCAGAAAAUUGUGCACCAAGCACCUAAACGAGUUCCUUCAACACAGGAAGAUAUUUUUACAGAAGAAACUACAUGGUACAGGAAAAUAACAUUCACAGUUCCUACAUUUUAUUACACAUCUCAUUUGAAACCUUGC